This is an RNA transcript of Mus musculus (house mouse), 15925 nucleotides long. It is a transcript of the gene named hemicentin 2, with no coding region annotated. The record is from RefSeq and is marked validated. The transcript has 99 exons. Lineage: Eukaryota; Metazoa; Chordata; Mammalia; Rodentia; Muridae.
UGCGAGAGGCGGGGUGGGCAUUAGGGACCGCCUCGGGCUCCCACCAGGGGAACCCCGCCGCGCCCCUGUCCGGUGAACCCGCUAGAGCGAGACUGCACUGCCAUCUCUCACUGCGACCUGCGGGUCCCAUCAGGGCUGCAGCCUCCGGCUCACCAUGACGCCUGGGGCGCAGCUCCUGCCGCUGCUCGUGGCGAUCUCUACAGCAGUGGCGGCGGUGGUCACGUCUGACGCGCCCACGAAGACGCUGUCCCCCGCCACAGGAGACGCCACCCUAGCCUUCGUCUUCGAUGUCACCGGCUCCAUGUGGGAUGACCUGAUGCAGGUGAUCGACGGCGCCUCGCGCAUUCUGGAGCGCAGCCUGAGCAGCCGCAGCCGGGUCAUCGCCAACUAUGCGCUGGUGCCUUUCCACGACCCAGAUAUUGGCCCGGUGACCCUCACGGCAGACCCAGUGGUAUUUCAGAGAGAGCUGAGAGAACUCUAUGUUCAGGGAGGAGGUGAUUGCCCAGAGAUGAGUGUGGGGGCCAUCAAGGCUGCCGUGGAGGUCGCCAACCCAGGCUCCUUCAUCUACGUCUUCUCGGAUGCCCGUGCCAAGGACUACCACAAGAAGAAGGAGCUUCUGCAGCUCCUGCAGCUGAAGCAGUCACAGGUGGUCUUUGUGCUGACUGGAGACUGUGGUGACCGCACCCAUCCUGGCUACCUGGUCUUCGAGGAGAUCGCCUCCACCAGUUCUGGCCAGGUGUUCCAGCUGGACAAACAGCAGGUGUCGGAGGUGUUAAAGUGGGUGGAGUCAGCAAUCCAGGCCUCCAAAGUUCAUCUGCUGUCUGCAGACCAUGAGGAGGAGGGCGAGCACACGUGGAGAAUCCCCUUUGACCCCAGCCUGAAGGAGGUCACCAUUGCACUGAGCGGACCAGGGCCUGAGAUUGAAGUCCGGGACCCACUGGGAAGGGUCCUGCAGACGGAUGAAGGCCUCAAUGUGCUCCUCAACAUUCCAGACUCAGCCAAGGUCGUAGCCUUUAAGCCUGAGCACCCAGGACUGUGGGCCAUCAAGGUAUACAGCAGCGGCCGCCACUCAGUGAGGAUAUCAGGCAUCAGCAACAUCAACUUCCGAGCCGGCUUCUCCAUGCAGCCCUCCCUGGACCUCAACCACACCAUCGAGUGGCCUUUGCAAGGCGUACCCAUCUCCCUGGUGAUCAACUCUACGGGCCUGCAGGCACCUGGCCACCUUGAGUCUGUGGAGCUCUCACACAGCUCGGGGAGGUCCCUUCUCACUCUGCCCACACAACUCCUCUCCAAUGGGUCCACCCAUCAGCUGUGGGCUGGGCCACCCUUCCACGUGCCGAAGGAACGCUUUUAUCUCAAGGUGAAGGGCAAAGACCACGAGGGGAAUCCCCUCCUUCGUGUCUCUGGAGUUUCCUACAGUGCAGUGGCCCCAGGUGUGCCGCUGGUCAGCAUGGCUCCUAAGAUCCAUGGUUACCUACAGCAGCCCCUGCUGGUGUCCUGCUCUGUGUAUAGCACCCUCCCCUUCCAGCUACAGCUGCAGAGAGAUGGAGAGAGGCUGGGCGAGGAGCGGUACUUUCAAGAGUCGGGAAACAGCAGCUGGGAGAUCCCGAGAGCCUCUAAGGCUGAGGAAGGCACGUACCAGUGCAUAGCCGUCAGCAGAGCUGGGUCAGGACGAGCCAGCGCCCAGAUUGUCAUCACAGACCCUCCACCACAGCUGGUCCCUGGCCCCAAUGUGACCGUGUCCCCAGGGGAGACUGCCAUCCUGUCAUGCCAAGUCCUAGGUGAAACUCCUUACAACUUGACCUGGGUCCGGGACUGGCGAGCCUUACCAGCCACAACAGGUCGGAUCUCCCAGCUGAGUGACCUGUCUCUGGAAGUCCGCAGCAUCAUUCCCACUGAUGGUGGGCAGUACCAGUGUGUGGCCAGCAACCCAAAUGGGGUCACGAGGGCAACUACCUGGCUCCUGGUGCGAGAGGCCCCUCAAGUCAGCAUCAAUGCAAGGUCCCAGCGCUUCUCCCAGGGUGUGGAGGUGAGGGUCAGCUGCUCAGCCUCUGGGUACCCCACACCCCAUAUCUCAUGGAGCCGUGAAGGCCUCGCCUUGCCAGAGGACAGCAGAAUCCAUGUGGAUGCCCAAGGCACACUCAUCAUUCAGGGGUUAGCCCCUGAGGAUGCUGGGAACUACAGCUGCCAGGCCACUAAUGAAGUUGGCACAGAUGAGGAGACAGUCACUCUCUACUACACAGAUCCACCAUCCGUGUCUGCUGUCAAUGCUGUGGUUCUCACAGCUGUUGGGGAAGAGGCUGUGCUAUUGUGUGCAGCAUCUGGGGUCCCCCCACCCCGGGUCAUCUGGUAUCGAGGAGGUCUGGAAGUGAUUCUGGCUCCUGGAGACUCUAGGUCGGGGACACUGCGGAUCCCUGAAGCUCAGGAGAGAGACGCUGGCCUCUAUACCUGCAAGGCUGUGAACGAGCUGGGUGAUGCCUCUGCUGAAAUACAGCUGGUGGUGGGAAAUGCACCCAGGCUGACGGAUCCGCCCCAGGACGUCACUGUGGAGCUGGGCAAGAGUGUCUUCCUCACCUGCCGGGCCACAGGCCGCCCACCCCCAAUUGUCACUUGGCGGCGUGGAGAUGGCCAGGCCCUGGAGCCUGGGAGGGGGAGCAGAACUGGACAGCGAGAUUCAGGAGUCUUGGUCUUUGAAAGAGUCUCCCUGGAAGACCAAGCACCGUAUGUGUGUGAAGCUCGCAAUGUGUUCGGGAAGGCCCAGGCUGAGGCCCGGCUGGUAGUCACUGGACAUGCACCUCCACAGAUCGCCAACAGUGCUUCUGUCGUACGUGUCCUGGAGGGACAGCCCGUGUCCCUGACCUGUGUCAUCCUGGCAGGGAGGCCCCUCCCUGAGAGACGCUGGCUCAAGGCUGGCAGCCCUCUCCCCCCAGGCAACCGGCAUGCUGUCCGUGCUGACGGCAGCCUACACCUUGACCGAGCCCUGCAAGAAGAUGCUGGAAGAUACAGCUGUGUGGCCACCAAUGUGGCAGGCUCUCAGCACCGAGAUGUGGAGCUGGUGGUCCAGGUGCCACCUAGAAUCCAUCCGACUUCCACCCACCACGUCACCAACGAAGGAGUGCCAGCCUCCCUCCCCUGCAUAGCUUCAGGAGUCCCCACCCCUAAAAUCACCUGGACCAAGGAAACCAACGCCUUGACUACCAGCGGUCACUACAGUGUGAGCAGAAAUGGUACCCUGGUCAUUGUCCAGCCAUCCCCGCAGGAUGCAGGUGCCUAUGUGUGCACAGCCACCAACAGUGUGGGCUUCUCCAGCCAGGAGAUGUGGCUGUCUGUUAAUACCAAGCCCAUGAUCAAGAUGAAUGGCUCCCAGGCUGUGGAUGUCCCUCUGAGAGUGACAGUCAAGGCUGGUGAAGAGGUGACCCUGGACUGUGAGGCCCAAGGCUCCCCAACUCCACUGCUCACCUGGACCAAGGAUGCCAACCCUCUACUGCCUGUCACCAACAGGUAUGAGCUCCUCCCAUCAGGCUCCCUGCGCCUGGCACAGGCCCAGGUGGGUGACAAUGGCCUUUAUGGGUGUACAGCCAGCAACCCCGCGGGGGCCACAUCUCGCCGCUACGUCCUCAGAGUUCAAGUCCCCCCUCAGGUGCAGCCUGGCCCUCGGGUCCUGAAGGUACUGGCUGGAGAAGCCCUUGACCUGAACUGUGUGGCCGAAGGCAACCCCCAACCUCAGCUGAACUGGUUCAAGGACGGGAUGGCCCUGAUGGGCGAGGGAGCCCAGGGCUCUGUCCACUUUGCUGCUGUCAAGACCUCUGAUGCUGGGCUGUACCGCUGUGAGGCCUCCAAUAGCGCUGGCACAGAUACCUGGAAGCUGGAGCUCCUUGUGCUCGAGCCACCACACUGGGGGACUGACGAGACCAAGAGCCUGCUGGAGCGAGUGGCCGGAGAGAAUGCCAGUCUGCCAUGUCCUGCCCAAGGGACUCCAAAGCCACGAAUCACAUGGCGGAGGGGCCCAUCCUCAGAGCCCCUGAAUGGCCGGCCAGAUGUGGCGGUGCUGGAUGAAGGGUCGCUGUUCCUGUCCUCAGUCUCUCUUGCAGACAGCGGGGAGUACGAGUGCCAGGCCACCAAUGAGGUGGGCUCUGCAUCCAGGAGAGCCAAGCUGGUGGUCUAUGUGCCCCCCAGCAUCCGGGAAGAGGGGCACAUAACCAACGUGUCGGGCCUAGCUGGACAGCCCCUGACGCUGGAGUGUGACAUAAACGGCUUUCCUGCCCCUGAGGUGGCGUGGCUCAAGGAUGGGCAGCUGAUCCCAGAGGCAAGUGGACAUCGCCUCUUGGAUGGCUCCCGGUCCCUCCACUUCCCUAGGAUCCAAGAGAGCCAUUCUGGCCUCUAUUCCUGCCAGGCUGAGAAUCAGGCGGGGAGCGCCCAGAGAGACUUCAAUCUUGCUGUGUUCAUCCCUCCCUCCUUGCUGGGAGCUGGGGCCGCUCAGGAGGUGCUUGGCCUGGCUGGUGCUGAUGUGACAUUGGAGUGUCAGACCUCAGGGGUUCCCACGCCCCAGGUGGAGUGGACCAAGGAUGGGCAGCCUAUCCUUCCAGGGGAUCCUCACAUCCUGCUGCAGGAGGAUGGCCAAGUUCUCAGAAUUAUCAGCAGUCACUUAGGUGACGAAGGGCAGUAUCAGUGUGUGGCCUUCAGCCCAGCCGGCCAGCAGGCCAAGGACUUUCAGCUCAGCAUUCACUAUGGGGACCCCGAGGCCCAGAGAGGGGAAAGGACUUACCCCAGGUCAUACACACCACCCACCAUCUGGGGCUCGAAUGAGACAGGUGAGGUGACUGUCCUGGAGGGCCACACCGCACAGCUCCUAUGUGAGGCCCGAGGAAUGCCAUCCCCUGCCAUCACCUGGUACAAGGAUGGGACCCUGCUGGCCCCCAGCUCAGAAGUGGUUUACAGCAAGGGCGGCCGGCAGCUGCAGCUGGUGAAGGCCCAGCCCUCCGAUGCUGGCCUCUACACCUGCCAGGCCAGCAACCCUGCAGGGAUUACGAAGAAAUCCACCAGUCUGGAGGUUUAUGUUCCACCUACCAUUGAGGGUGCUGACGGAGGGCCAUACCUGGUGCAGGCUGUGGCUGGGAGACCCGUGGCACUGGAGUGUGUGGCCAGAGGCCAUCCACCCCCUACGAUCUCCUGGCAGCAUGAAGGGCUGCCAGUGGUGGACAGUAAUGGGACAUGGCUGGAGGCAGGAGGUGCCCUGCAGCUGGAGAACCCAGGAGAGGCAUCCGGUGGCCUCUACAGCUGUGUGGCCAGCAGCCCCGCUGGAGAGGCUGUACUGCAGUACUCAGUGGAGAUGCAGGUGCCCCCACAGCUGCUGGUGGCUGAAGGCAUGGGCCAGGUCACUGCCACCGUGGGACAGUCUCUGGAUCUUCCCUGCCAGGCAUCAGGCUCCCCAGUGCCCACCAUCCAAUGGUUACAGAAUGGUCGCCCAGCAGAGGAGCUGGCUGGGGUGCAGCUGGCCUCACAGGGGACCAUACUGCACAUCAGCCACGUGGAGCUGAACCACUCAGGCCUCUUUGCCUGCCAGGCCACCAACGAGGCAGGAACAGCUGGGGCUGAGGUGGAGGUCUCUGUGCAUGAGCUUCCUUCAGUGCACAUCAUUGGUGGGGAGAACCUCACAGCCCCUUUCCUGCAACCUGUAACCCUCCAGUGUGUAGGCAUUGGAGUGCCUACCCCAAGCCUUCGCUGGUGGAAAGAUGGCGUGGCCGUGGCAACCUCAGGGGGCAACCUUCAGAUUGAGAAGGCAGACCUGAGAGAUGAAGGUGUCUACACGUGUUCAGCCACCAACCUGGCAGGGGAGAGCAAGAAGGAUGUAACACUAAAGGUUCUGGUUCCUCCCAACAUUGAACCAGGCCCAGUCAACAAGGUGGUUCUGGAGAAUGCCUCUGUGACCUUGGAGUGUCUGGCUUCCGGUGUCCCCCCUCCAGACGUCUCCUGGUUCAAGGGUCGCCAGCCCAUCUCUACCCAGAGACGGGUGAUAGUGUCAGCUGAUGGAAGAGUUCUUCAUAUUGAGCGAGUCCAGCUUUCUGAUGCAGGGAGCUACCGCUGUGUGGCGACCAAUGUGGCGGGCAGUGCAGGGCUGAAGUAUGGCCUACGGGUCAAUGUGCCACCCCGAAUUACCCUGCCACCCAACCUACCAGGCCCAGUACUGCUUGGCACACCCUUCCGCCUGACCUGUAAUGCCACUGGCACCCCCCGCCCCACCCUGAUAUGGCUGAAGGAUGGAAACCCUGUGUCUCCUGAAGGAAUCCCUGGCCUCAAGGUCUUCCCCGGAGGACAGGUCCUCACUGUGGCCAGUGCCCGUGCCUCUGAUUCGGGCAGCUACUCCUGUGUAGCAGUGAGUGCUGUGGGUGAGGAUCGCCGGGAUGUCAUCCUGCAAGUUCACAUGCCCCCCAGCAUCCUCGGAGAAGAGCUAAACAUGUCCGUCGUCGUAAAUGAGUCAGUGACCCUGGAGUGCCAGAGCCAUGCAGUGCCACCACCCGUGCUGAGAUGGCAGAAGGACGGGAGACCCCUGGAGCCUCACCCUGGGAUCCGCCUCUCUGCAGACAAGGCCUUGCUGGAGGUGGACCGAGCGGCGGUGUGGGAUGCAGGCCACUACACCUGUGAAGCUAUUAACCAGGCAGGCCGCUCUGAGAAACACUUCAACUUGCAUGUCUGGGUCCCUCCAGCGUUCCCCUCAAAGGAGCCCUACACUCUCACUGUGACUGAGGGACAGACCGCCAGACUGUCGUGUGACUGCCAGGGCAUUCCUUUCCCCAAGAUCUCAUGGAGGAAAGAUGGUCAGCCUCUGCCUGGGGAGGGGGACAGCCUGGAACAGGUGUUGGCAGUCGGGAGGCUGCUGUACCUGGGACAGGCCCAGUCGGCCCAGGAGGGGACAUAUACCUGUGAAUGCAGCAAUGCAGCCGGGACCAGCAGCCAGGAGCAGUCGCUGGAGGUUCUGGUUCCUCCUCAGGUCACUGGCCUCUGGGAGCCCCUCACAACAGUCUCCGUGAUCCAGGAUGGAAACACCACCCUGGCCUGUAAUGCCACAGGGAAGCCCCUCCCAGUGGUGACAUGGCAGAGGGAUGGUCAGCCUGUCUCGGUGGAACCCGGCUUGCGGCUUCAGAAUCAGAACCACAGCCUACACGUGGAACGGGCUCAGGCCUCCCACGCCGGCGGCUACAGCUGUGUGGCUGAGAAUACAGCUGGGCGUGCCGAGAGGAGGUUUGCACUGUCUGUGCUGGCACCUCCUCAUCUUACUGGAGACUCAGACUCACUGACCAAUGUCACUGCUACCUUACACGGCUCCUUCACACUGCUCUGUGAAGCUGCAGGGGUCCCGGCCCCAACAGUCCAGUGGUUUCAGGAAGGACAGCCAAUCAGCCCCAGAGAGGGCACCUAUCUCUUGGCAGGUGGCUGGAUGCUGAAGAUGACCCAGGCACAGGAGCAGGACAGAGGCCUCUAUUCGUGCCUGGCCAGCAAUGAGGCUGGGGAGGCACGGAGGAACUUCAGUGUAGAGGUCUUGGUUCCUCCCAGCAUUGAAAAUGAAGACUUGGAGGAAGUGAUCAAGGUGCCUGAGGGACAGACUGCCCAGCUGGAGUGCAACGCCACAGGCCACCCACCGCCCAAGGUCACAUGGUUCAAAGAUGGCCAGUCCCUGACUGUUGAAGACCCUUAUGAGAUGUCCCCAGAUGGGGCCUUCCUGUGGAUCCCCCAGGCCAAUCUGUCCAAUGCUGGCCACUAUUCUUGCAUUGCUAGCAAUGCUGUGGGGGAGAAGACCAAACACACACAGCUCAGUGUCCUGGUGGUUCCCACCAUCCUGGGAGUGCCAGAGAAGAAUGCCAACGAGGAAGUGACUGUGACCAUCAACAAUCCUAUUUCCUUGAUCUGUGAGGCUCUGGCCUUUCCAUCCCCCAAUAUCACCUGGAUGAAGGAUGGGUCGCCCUUUGAGGCCUCAAAAAACAUUCAGCUCCUCCCAGGUACCCACGGACUACAGAUCCUGAAUGCCCAGAAGGAAGAUGCCGGCCAGUACACCUGUGUAGUCACCAAUGAGCUGGGGGAGGCGACAAAGAACUACCAUGUGGAAGUGCUCAUUCCCCCUUCCAUCUCCAAAGAUGACCCCUUGGGGGAGGUCAGCGUGAAGGAAGUGAAGACCAAGGUCAACAGCUCUCUGACCCUGGAGUGUGAAUGCUGGGCCACACCCCCGCCCUCCAUCAGCUGGUACAAAGACGGAAGGCCUGUGACCCCCAGCCACCGGCUCAGUGUCCUGGGGGAGGGGCGGCUGCUCCAGAUCCAACCCACACAGGUCUCUGACUCUGGCCGAUACCUGUGUGUGGCCACCAAUGUGGCUGGCGAGGACGACCAGGACUUCAAUGUUCUCAUCCAAGUGCCCCCUAUGUUCCAGAAGAUGGGCGAUGUUGAUGCAGGCUUUGAGCCCCUGCCCCAUGAGGAGGAGGCCCAGGGCAGGGUGACAGAGUACAGAGAGAUUGUGGAGAACAACCCAGCUUACCUGUACUGCGAUACCAAUGCCAUUCCACCACCAGAGCUCACGUGGUACAGGGAGGGUCAGCCCCUGUCAGCUGCUGAUGGGGUCUCGGUACUGCAAGGAGGCCGAAUCCUGCAGCUGCCUCUUGUGCAGGCAGAGGAUGCGGGCAGGUACUCCUGCAAGGCUGCCAAUGAGGUGGGCGAGGACUGGCUACAUUACGAACUACUGGUGUUGACACCACCAGUGAUCCCGGGAGACACACAGGAGCUGGUAGAGGAGGUGACAGUGAACGCUAGCAGUGCUGUCAGCCUAGAGUGCCCAGCCCUGGGGAACCCAGCACCUGCUGUGUCAUGGUUCCAGAAUGGGCUGCCUGUGUCCCCCAGCCCACGGCUGCAGGUCCUAGAGGAGGGACAGGUCUUGAAGGUUGCCACUGCAGAGGUAGCCGAUGCCGCCAGCUACAUGUGUGUUGCAGAGAACCAGGCAGGCUCUGCAGAGAAACUCUUUACCCUCAAGGUCCAAGUACCGCCACAAAUCUCAGACUGGACCACCAGCCAGCUCACCGCCACCCUCAACAGCAGUGUCUCCCUCCCCUGUGAAGUUUAUGCUCACCCAAACCCUGAGGUCACAUGGUACAAGGAUGGCCAGCCUCUCUCCCUGGGACAAGAGGCUUUCCUCCUCCCCGGUACCCACACUCUGCGGCUGGCACGAGCACAGCCAGCUGACUCCGGGACCUACUUGUGUGAAGCCCUCAACGCCGCAGGCCGAGACCAAAAGAUGGUACAGCUCAACGUUCUCGUUCCCCCCAGCUUUAAACAGGCUCCUGGAGGCCCCCAGGAGGCUAUCCAGGUUAGAGCAGGGGACAAAGCCAUCCUAAGCUGCGAGACAGACUCACUCCCAGAGCCAGCUGUGACCUGGUUCAAGGACCAGCAGCCCCUAGCCCUGGGGCAGCGGAUUCAGGGUCUACAAGGUGGACAAACACUGGAGAUCCUGGACUCACAGGCAUCAGAUAAGGGUGUGUACAGCUGCAAAGUUAGCAAUACAGCUGGAGAGGCCAUCCGGACCUUUGUCCUUGCCAUCCAAGUGCCUCCAACAUUUGAGAAGCCCGAGAGGGAGACAGUGAACCAGGUAGCUGGGCGGACCCUAGUCCUGGCUUGUGAUGUGUCCGGAAUCCCUGCUCCCACUGUGACUUGGCUGAAGGACAGAUUACCCGUGGAGAGCAGCGUGGUACACGGAGUGGUCUCCCGAGGUGGCCGCCUCCAGCUGAGUCACCUGCAGCCAGCCCAGGCCGGUACCUACACUUGUGUGGCUGAGAACGCCCAGGCAGAGGCCCGCAAAGACUUUGUAGUGUCUGUCCUAGUGCCUCCCCAGAUCCAGGACUCAGGCAUGGCACAAGAACACAAUGUGUUGGAGAAACAGGAGAUUCGGCUGCACUGUGAGGCUGAAGGCCAGCCACCACCAGAUAUAACCUGGCUGAAGGACGGUGGCCUGUUGGACCAGCACGUGGGACCUCACCUCCGGUUCUAUCUGGACGGCAGUACCCUGGUGCUGAAGGGCCUAAGAACAGCGGACUCGGGUGCCUACACCUGUGUGGCCCACAACCCAGCUGGGGAGGAUGCCAGGCUACACACGGUGAAUGUACUGGUUCCUCCCACCAUCAAGCAACAAGCUGGUGACACCGGGACCCUGGUGAGCAGGACUGGAGAGCUGGUGACCAUGGUGUGCCCUGUCCAAGGAUCCCCACCCAUUCACGUGAGCUGGCUCAAGGACGGCCUGCCCCUUCCACUCUCCCAGCGCACCCUCCUCCACAGCUCCGGCCGCACCCUCAGGAUCUCUCAGGUGCAGCUGGCAGAUUCAGGCGUCUUCACCUGUGUGGCUGCAAGCCCAGCUGGUGUGGCUGACAGGAACUUCACCUUGCUAGUACUCGUGCCCCCCAUCCUGGAACCAGUGGAGUUUCAGAACAACGUGAUGGCUGCCCAAGGCUCUGAAGUAGUCCUUCCGUGUGAGGCCCGGGGAAGCCCCCUGCCUCUCGUGUCAUGGAUGAAAGAUGGGGAGCCUUUGUUGCCCCAGAGCCUUGAGCAGGGGCCUGGCCUGAAGCUGGAAUCAGUGAGUGUUGGUGACGCAGGGACCUACUCCUGCACGGCAGCAAGCGAGGCAGGGGAGGCCAGGAGGCACUUCCAGCUGACAGUGAUGGAUCCCCCUCACAUUGAGGAAUCUGGUGAGACUUCAGAGCUGUCACUGACACCCGGUGCCCACCUGGAACUCCUGUGUGAGGCCCGAGGCAUCCCUCCACCCAACAUCACUUGGCAUAAAGACGGGCAGGCCCUGCGCAGGACGGAAAAUGACAGCCAAGCUGGCCGGGUGCUCCGGGUGCGGGAUGUACAGGUGGACAAUGCUGGGCUGUAUACCUGCCUGGCUGAGAGCCCUGCAGGUGAAGUUGAGAAGAGCUUCCGGGUCAGGGUUCAAGCCCCUCCAAAUGUUGUUGGGCCCCGGGGUCCCCGCUCUGUGGUUGGCUUGGCUCCAGGGCAGCUGAUCCUGGAGUGCUCCGUGGAGGCAGAGCCAGCACCAGAGAUUGAGUGGCAUCGAGGUGGUGUCCUGCUUCAGGCAGAUGCCCACACUCACUUUCCAGAGCAGGGCAGAUUCCUCAAGCUGCAGGCGCUGAGCACCGCGGAUGGUGGGGACUACAGCUGCACAGCCCGCAACAGGGCAGGCAGCACCAGCGUGGCUUUCCGUGUGGAGAUCCACACGGCACCCACCAUCCAAUCAGGACCGAACACUGUGAACGUCUCAGUGAACCGCACAACCCUGCUGCCCUGCCAGACCCACGGUGUGCCCACGCCCCUCGUGAGCUGGAGGAAGGAUGGGAUCCCUCUGCACCCUGGGAGCCCCAGGCUAGAGUUUCUGCCCGAGGGAUCACUGCGGAUUCAUCCAGUCCUGGCACAGGAUGCCGGACACUACCUCUGCCUAGCAUCCAACUCUGCUGGCUCCGACCGGAAAGGCCUAGACCUCAGAGUCUUCGAGCCCCCGGCCAUUGCUCCUGGCCCCUCCAACCUGACCCUGACGGCCUACAGCCCAGCCUCGCUGCCCUGUGAAGCCAGAGGCUCUCCCAAGCCCUUGGUGACCUGGUGGAAGGAUGGGCAGAAGCUGGACCUCCGCCUACAGCAAGGCGCCUACCGGCUUCUGCCUUCCAAUGCCCUGUUCCUCACCGCUCCCAGCCCUCAGGACUCAGCCCAGUUUGAGUGUGUCGUGAGCAAUGAGGUGGGAGAGUCCCGCAGGCGCUACCAGGUGACCGUCCAUGUGCCUCCCACCAUUGCGGACGACCAGACACAUUUCACGGUGACCAGGAUGGCACCUGUGAUCCUCACGUGCCACAGCACAGGGUCACCAACCCCAGCCGUGUCCUGGAGCAAGGCAGGCACCCAGCUGGGAGCAAGGGGCAGCGGCUACCGCAUCUUGCCCUCUGGAGCCCUGGAGAUUGAGCGGGCCCUCCCUCUCCAUGCUGGCCGGUACACCUGCACAGCUCGAAACUCUGCAGGGGUGGCCCGCAAGCACAUGGUCCUCACAGUGCAAGCCUCCCCUGUGGUAAAGCCACUCCCCAGCGUGGUUCAGGUUGUGGCAUCGGAGGAGGUGCUGCUGCCCUGUGAGGCCUCUGGCAUCCCCCAGCCAAUGGUCAUCUGGCAGAAGGAGGGUCUCAGCAUCCCUGAAGGAGCUCAUAUGCAGGUCCUCCCCAGCGGCCAGCUGCGGAUCAUGCACGCCAGCCCAGAGGAUGCUGGGAACUACUUCUGCAUUGCCCAGAACAGCGUGGGCAGUGCCAUGGCGAAGACCAGGCUGGUGGUGCAAGUCCCGCCUGUGAUUGAGAAUGGCCUCCCAGAUUUGUCCACCAUUGAGGGCUCCCACGCCCUCCUGCCCUGCACAGCCAAGGGCAGCCCUGAACCAGCCAUUACCUGGGAAAAGGAUGGCCACCUGGUAUCUGGAGCUGAGGGGAAGUUUACCCUGCAGCCUUCCGGGGAGCUCCUGGUGAAGAACUCUGAGGGCCAGGAUGCAGGCACUUACAUCUGCACUGCAGAAAAUGCCGUGGGCCGUGCCCGACGCCGCGUGCAUCUCACCAUCCUGACGCUGCCUGUCCUCACCACCUUGCCUGGGGACCGAAGCCUGCGUCUUGGGGACAGGCUAUGGCUUCGCUGUGUGGCCAGGGGCAGCCCAACACCCCGCAUUGGCUGGACCAUCAAUGACCAGCCUGUCACAGAGGGGGUGUCUGAGCAGGACGGGGGCAGCACACUGCAGCGGGCAGCCGUCACCAGAGAGGACAGCGGCACAUACACGUGCUGGGCCGAGAACAGAGUUGGUCGUGUGCAGGCUGUCAGCUUCGUCCACGUGAAGGAGGCUCCAGUCCUACAAGGGGAGGCCUUCUCUUACCUGGUAGAACCUGUAGGGGGCAGCAUCCAGCUACACUGUGUGGUUCGUGGAGACCCAGCUCCAGACAUCCACUGGACCAAAGAUGGCCUUCCACUGCCCAUCAGCCGCCUCCACUUCCAGCUACAGAACGGCUCCCUGACCAUCCUCAGGACCAAGAUGGACGACGCGGGACGGUACCAAUGCCUGGCCGUGAACGAGAUGGGCACCGUGAAGAAAGUGGUGACAGUUGUGCUUCAGAGUGCCCCAGUGUUCCAGGUGGAGCCUCAGGACGUGACAGUGAGGUCCGGAGUGGAUGUGGAACUGCGAUGCCGGGCCACUGGAGAGCCUGUGCCCACAAUCGAGUGGCUACGGGCAGGCAGGCCGCUACAGGCUGGCCGGAAGCUCCGGGCCCUGCCAGAUGGAAGCCUGUGGCUGGAGCAUGUGGAAGCUGGAGAUGCUGGAGUGUAUGAGUGUGUUGCUCACAAUCAUCUGGGCUCUGUCACAGCCAAGGCGUUGCUGGCCGUAAGAGGGGAGCCCCGGGGCAGCCGGGGCAGCAUGACUGGAGUCAUCAAUGGUCAGGAAUUUGGAAUGGCUACUCUCAACAUCAGUGUGCUACAGCAGGGCAGCUCUGAGGCUCCAACCAUCUGGAGCAGCAUCAGUCAAGUCCCAGCAAGUGUGGGGCCUCUAAUGCGGGUGCUGGUGGUCACGAUUGCCCCCAUCUACUGGGCCCUGGCUAGAGAGAGCGGAGAGGCCUUAAAUGGCUACUCUCUGACGGGUGGCAGCUUCCAGCAGGAGUCACAGAUGGAAUUUUCUACAGGGGAGCUACUCACAAUGACCCAGGUGGCUCGGGGCCUGGAUCCUGAUGGACUCCUGCUCGUGGACAUGAAAAUCAAUGGCAUGAUCCCAGAGAGCCUGGCUGACGGAGAUCUGCGAGUACAGGACUUCCAGGAGCACUACGUGCAGACAGGGCCUGGCCAGCUAUUUGCGGGCUCCACACAGCGUUUCCUCCACGACAGCCUCCCAGCCUCCCUGCGCUGCAAUCACAGCAUCCAGUAUGAUGAGACCCGGGGCCUCCAGCCCCAGCUGGUGCAGCAUCUUCGGGCCUCUUCUAUCAGCUCGGCCUUUGACCCUGAGGCAGAGGCCCUGAACUUCCAGCUUACCACAGCCCUGCAAACAGAGGAAAAUGAAGUUGGCUGUCCCGAGGGCUUUGAGCCGGAUGUGCAGGGAGCAUUUUGUGUGGACAAGGACGAAUGCUCAGGAGGUCCCAGCCCCUGCUCUCAUACCUGCCGCAAUGCUCCUGGUCAUUUCUCCUGCUCCUGCCCCACUGGCUUCUCCCUGGCUUGGGACCACAGGAAUUGUAGAGAUGUGGAUGAGUGUGCGGGCAACACCCACCUCUGCCAGGAGGAACAGCGCUGUGUGAACCUGCUUGGAUCCUAUAACUGCCUCGCUUCCUGUAGACCUGGCUUCCGGGUAACUGCUGACGGAAGCAACUGUGAAGAUGUGGAUGAAUGUCUAGAACAGCUGGAUGAGUGUCACUACAAUCAACUCUGUGAGAACACUCCAGGUGGCCACCACUGUGGUUGUCCCAGAGGGUACCGCCAACAGGGUCACAGCCUGCCUUGCCUAGACAUCAACGAGUGCCUACAGCUGCCCACACCCUGUGUCUACCAGUGUCAGAACCUCCAGGGCAGCUACCGAUGCCUGUGCCCACCAGGCCAGACUCUCCUACGGGAUGGCAGGACCUGUAUCCCCCUGGAACGGAACCGUCAAAACAUUACCAUUGUCAGCCACCGGAGCCCAUUUGGGCCCUGGCUGCGGUCUCGGGUACCCAGGCCCAGUAGUUCCUACCACACCUGGGUCUCCCUCCGGCCUGGUUCUGGGGCCCUGAAUAGUGUGGGCCGGGCCUGGUGCCCACCUGGCUUCAUAAGGCAGGAUGGCGUGUGUGCAGCCAGAGACUCCUCCUGCAGCAGGCCUGGGUGAAGCAGGCAGGGGAGGGGUUGCCUGGAGCAGAGAGCUUCCCUGACCGGUCUCAGAGCACAUGGCCAUCCGGCAAUCUGACUCAGCAUCUCUCUGCCCUCUGUCCCCACCUGGACCAGACCUUGAUGAGUGCCGUGUUAGGAGCCUGUGUCAGCAUGCCUGCCAAAACACAGAGGGUAGCUACUAUUGCCUGUGCCCCUCUGGCUACCGCCUCCUUCCCAGCGGGAAGAACUGCCAGGACAUCAACGAGUGUGAGGAAGAUGGCAUCGAGUGUGGGCCUGGCCAGAUGUGCUUCAACACCCGAGGCAGCUUCCAGUGUGUAGACACGCCCUGUCCUACCACCUACCGGCAGGGCUCCAGCCCCGGGACCUGCUUCCGCCGCUGCUCUCAGGACUGCAGCGCCAGCGGCCCGUCUACACUGCAGUACCGCCUGCUGCCGCUGCCCCUCGGCGUGCGCGCCCACCACGACGUGGCCCGCCUGGCCGCCUUCUCCGAGGCUGGCAUCCCUGCCAACCGCACGGAGCUCACCGUGCUGGAGCCCGACCCACGCAGCCCCUUCGCUCUCCGCCAGCUACGCGCUGGACAAGGCGCGGUCUACACCCGCAGAGCGCUCACCCGCGCCGGGCUCUACCGCUUGACUGUGCGCGCAGCGGCACCCCGCCACCAGAGCGUCUACAUCCUGCUAAUCGCAGUGUCGCCUUACCCGUACUGAGGCCAGAGCUGCAGAUCCACCCUGACCUCGCAGAGAGGAACAGAGUGGCCCUUGCCCAUGACACCUACAGUGACAGAGAACAUCCUCUUCUCCCGCCCCCGUGCGUCAGUGAGAUCUUUGGUAAACACUGCUGUGCGCAGAGCCUUGACCCCAGGGCAGAGACCGCUGCCCCUUUGAUGGCAAAGCCAAUGGGUCAGGCCUGAGUCCCGUCUUUCCUCAGAUCUCAGCGGGGAGCUGGGCAAGAUCUCAGUGGUCCAGGACAGACCCAGUAGGGGUGGAAGCGACUGGCACUGUCCUGACCACAUGGAAUGUGUAUAGUAUAAAAAAAAUUUUUUUUUACUGAC